This 469-nucleotide ribosomal RNA is filed under the name uncultured bacterium. RNAcentral's name for it is "partial 16S ribosomal RNA". It matches the Rfam family "Bacterial small subunit ribosomal RNA", at positions 28 to 507 of the family's 1533-position model. The record is from RNAcentral.
GACGAACGCUGGCGGCGUGCUUAACACAUGCAAGUCGAACGGAAAGGCCCUGCUUGCAGGGUGCUCGAGUGGCGAACGGGUGAGUAACACGUGGGUGAUCUGCCCCUUACUUUGGGAUAAGCCUUGGAAACUGGGUCUAAUACUGGAUAGGACCAUGCUGUAGGUGGUGUGGUGGAAAGAUUAGUUUCGGUAAGGGAUGAGCUCGCGGCCUAUCAGCUUGUUGGUGGGGUAAUGGCCUACCAAGGCGUCGACGGGUAGCCGGCCUGAGAGGGUGGACGGCCACAUUGGGACUGAGAUACGGCCCAGACGCCUACGGGAGGCAGCAGUGGGGAAUAUUGCACAAUGGGCGCAAGCCGGAUGCAGCGACGCCGCGUGGGGGAUGACGGCCUUCGGGUUGUAAACUCCUUUCAGCCAUGACGAAGCCCUUGUGGUGACGGUAGUGGUAGAAGAAGCACCGGCUAACUACGUG